RNAcentral lists this ribosomal RNA (849 nucleotides) under Pleurotheciella guttulata. RNAcentral's name for it is "LSU rRNA". It matches the Rfam family "Eukaryotic large subunit ribosomal RNA", at positions 114 to 995 of the family's 3401-position model. The record is from RNAcentral. Lineage: Eukaryota; Fungi; Ascomycota; Sordariomycetes; Pleurotheciales; Pleurotheciaceae.
UUUGAAAUCUGACUCUCGGGUCCGACUUGUAAUCUGCAGAUGAGUCUUUUGGCGGAGCGCCGUCCAAGUUCCCUGGAACGGGACGCCGGAGAGGGUGAGAGCCCCGUACCGACGUGCGCCGAGUCUUUGCAAAGCUCAUUCGAAGAGUCGAGUAGUUUGGAAAUGCUGCUCUAAUUGUGGGGUAAAUCUCCCAUAAGGCUAAAUAUUGGCCAGAGACCGAUAGCGCACAAGUAGCGUGAGCGAAAGAUGAAAAGAGCCUUGAACAAGGGCGUCAAAAAGCAUGUGAAAUUGUUAUGGGGGAAGCGCUCAAUGCCAGACGUGGCGGCGGUUGGUUACCCGGUGUUCUUCGCCGGCGCACUCUGCCGUCUGCCAGGCCAGCAUCAGUUCGGUCCGGGGCUUACUUCCGUUCGGAAUGUGGCUCUUCGGAGUGUUAUAGCCCUGCGGCGACGCCCUGGGCCGGACUGAGGAACGCGCAUCUGCCCGGAUGCUGGCGUAAUGGCUUUUAGCGACCCGUCUUGAAACACGGACCAAGGAGUUGACCUAGUAUGCGAGUGUUUGGGUGUAAAGCCCUCACGCGUAGUGAAAGCGAACGCAGGUGGGAGCUUCGGCGCACCAUCGACCGAUCCUGAAGUUUACGGACGGAUUUGAGUAGGAGCAUGCUGGGUCUGACCCGAAAGAAGGUGAACUAUGCAUGAAUAGGGUGAAGCCAGAGGAAACUCUGGUGGAGGCUCGCAGCGGUUCUGACGUGCAAAUCGAUCGUCAAAUUUGUGCAUGGGGGCGAAAGACCAAUCGAACCUUCUAGUAGCUGGUUCCUGCCGAAGUUCCCUCAGGAUAGCAGAGUUGAUCCUC